Molecule: ribosomal RNA, 484 nt
Filed under: uncultured bacterium
Lineage: Bacteria
Description: partial 16S ribosomal RNA
Rfam family: Bacterial small subunit ribosomal RNA
Source: RNAcentral
AUUGAACGCUGGCGGCAGGCCUAACACAUGCAAGUCGAGCGGACGAACGGAGCUCGCUCCUCGCUUCCGUGGCGGACGGGCGAGUAAUGCCUAGGAAUCUGCCCGGUCGUGGGGGCUAACGUCCGGUCACGGGCCCUAAUCCCGCACACGACCUGAGGGUGAAAGUGAUGGAUCUUUAGACCUAAAGCUAUCUGCUGAGCCUAAGUCGGAUUAGCUAGUUGGUGAGGUAAAGGCCUACCAAGGCGACGAUCCGUAACUGGUCUGAGAGGAUGAUCAGUCACACUGGAACUGAGACACGGUCCAGACUCCUACGGGAGGCAGCAGUAGGGAAUAUUGCGCAAUGGGCGAAAGCCUGAUCGAGCCAUGCCGCGUGUGUGAAGAAGGUCUUCGGAUCGUAAAGCACUUUAAGUUGGGAAGAAGGAAUGUGAAAGUAUAUAUGCCUGUUUUGACGUUACCUACAGAGAAAGCAACGGCUAACUACGUG